RNAcentral lists this unclassified non-coding RNA (247 nucleotides) under Hevea brasiliensis (rubber tree). Lineage: Eukaryota; Viridiplantae; Streptophyta; Magnoliopsida; Malpighiales; Euphorbiaceae. The record is from RNAcentral.
AAAAAAAAAAAAAAAAAAACUCACUCUAAUGAUGACCUCACAUGUCAGGAGAUUUCUCAACUAAUACAUAUGUACAUUCAAGAUAUUGGUCUUGUACAUGCAUAAGUCAUUUCUCAUAAUCAAAUGGCAUAAUCAAUUUUCCCCCCAUGAGAACUACUUUCUCUGGGAUGUUUAGAUUUGUAUUAUCUGUCAAACUGCCAUAGACUCUUUAUGUGUGACCACUUCUGUUCUUGUCUUGCUCAAUUUC